AUGUUGUAACACCUGUUCCUAUACAAUCACCGAAGUUAAACAACGUCAAGCCUGGUCAGUACCUAGAUGGGUGACCGCUUGAGAAUACCACAUGCUGUA
Non-coding RNA from Acanthosepion pharaonis, 99 nucleotides. Lineage: Eukaryota; Metazoa; Mollusca; Cephalopoda; Sepiida; Sepiidae. The record is from the annotation of a GenBank genome assembly.